Molecule: small RNA, 1083 nt
Filed under: Pongo abelii (Sumatran orangutan)
Lineage: Eukaryota; Metazoa; Chordata; Mammalia; Primates; Hominidae
Description: processed transcript
Source: RNAcentral
UGGUCAGCACCCCUGCACCAAACCCAGAUGCAAGCCAACUGGCUUCAAGCUCAUCUAGCCAGAAAGAGGUAGCAACAGAAGAUGUGACAAGGCUGCCCUCUCCUACAUCCCCCUUCUCAUCUCUUUCCCAAGACCAGGCUGCCACUUCUAAAGCCACAUUGUCUUCCACAUCUGGUCUUGAUUUAAUGUCUGAAUCUGGAGAAGGGGAAAUCUCCCCACAAAGGGAAGUCUCAAGAUCCCAGGAUCAGUUCAGUGAUAUGAGAAUCAGCAUAAACCAGACGCCUGGGAAGAGUCUUGACUUUGGGUUUACAAUAAAAUGGGAUAUUCCUGGGAUCUUCGUAGCAUCAGUUGAAGCAGGUAGCCCAGCAGAAUUUUCUCAGCUACAAGUAGAUGAUGAAAUUAUUGCUAUUAACAACAUCAAGUUUUCAUAUAACGAUUCAAAAGAGUGGGAGGAAGCCAUGGCUAAGGCUCAAGAAACCGGACACCUAGUGAUGGAUGUGAGGCGCUAUGGAAGGGCUGACUGGGGCAAAGACCAACCUUCCCUGCCAUUUAUACGGCAUAAAACCCUCAAUCUCACCAGUAUGGCUACCAAAAUUAUAGGUUCACCUGAAACAAAGUGGAUUGAUGCAACUUCUGGAAUUUACAACUCAGAAAAAUCUUCAAAUCUAUCUGUAACAACUGAUAUCUCCGAAAGCCUUCAGAGUUCUAAUAUUGAAUCCAAAGAAAUCAAUGGAAUUCAUGAUGAAAGCAAUGCUUUUGAAUCAAAAGCAUCUGAAUCCAUUUCUUUGAAAAACUUAAAAAGGCGAUCACAAUUUUUUGAACAAGGUAAACCACAAAGCCAACAAUUCAUGCACUUUCAUGGAAUUGUUCUCCCUCUCCACUCUUCCUCAUGGUCUGUGAUGCUGGGCACUGAGCCUCUUCAAUUUGUCUGUCAUUAUGACCAAGUGACAUAACCCAUUUCCAUUCUUUCCCUAGGGUCAUCAGGCUUUUCUUACAGUUCAUGGGUCUACCUCUGUGGUAAUGGGUCUUUGUGUGUCCUUUGUAUACCUCUAAACAUUUUACUUUUUUUUUUUUUUAACUUUG